RNAcentral lists this long non-coding RNA (3324 nucleotides) under Nicotiana benthamiana. RNAcentral's name for it is "long non-coding RNA (NBEN_LNC023543)". The record is from RNAcentral. Lineage: Eukaryota; Viridiplantae; Streptophyta; Magnoliopsida; Solanales; Solanaceae.
AGGAUCCUUUGAUUUAACCCCAUUCAUCACACUUCAUAAUGUGUUGUUUGUUCCUUCUUUCAAAUACAACUUAAUCUCUGUCCAUAAACUGAUAAAGUAGUUGCACUGCAUAGUCUUGUUUACUGCUACUUCCUGUUUUCUUCACAUGUUACAGGCCCCUUCUAUGAGGAUGCCUCUGGAUCUUGGUAAGGAGGAGAAUGGUGUGUACAAGCUUGCUUGGAUGCCAUCCUCACAUUCCUCUUCUAGUUGUUGCAAGCCUGUUUCUGUGUGUUCCUAUUCUGAUUCUUAUAAUUCUGUUUGUGCCUCUAGCUCUAAAGCUGUUUCUUUGCCUUCCACUGUAAAUAACUCCAUUUGUAAUAAUGCUAGUGGAAGUGACAUGAACUUCAUUUGGCACUUAAGACUUGCUCACAUUCCUUUUGCAAAUAUGAAACAUAUUUCUCCCUUGUCUCUUUCCCUUGCUUCUAAACAAUCAUUUCCUUGUUCUAUUUGUCCUAUGGCUAGGCAAACUAGGCUUGCUUUCCCUGAUAGUUCCAUCAGUACAAGCAAACCUUUCUAAUUAAUUCAUGUAGAUACUUGGGGUCUUUACCACACACCAAUAUUUCUUUCCCUGAUAGUACCAUCAGUACAAGCAGACUUUUCCAAUUAAUCCAUGUAGAUACUUGGGGCCCUUACCACACACCAACUUCCUCUGUAUCAAGAUAUUUCCUUACAAUAGAUGAUGAUUUUUCUAGGGCAACCUGGACACAUCUAUUGGGAUCUAAGGGCAAUGCCUUUUGCAUGAUCAAGUCCUUCCUAUCCAUGGUUAAAACUGAGUUUGGUACUACUAUCCAAACUAUAAGAAGUGAUAAUGCCUUUGAAUUAGGGUCCAGCCUUGAUGGGGCUUCUUUCUUCAAUCAACAGGGUAUUAUUCAUCAAACUACCGGUCCCCACACUUCUCAACAAAAUGGUGUUGUUGAAAGAAACCACAGAACACUUCUUGAAGCUUGUAGAGCUUUACUUUUUCAAUCGAAACUACCUGUAUCAUUAUUGGGGGACUGUUUAUUAACUUCCACAUACCUGCUUAAUAGGAUACCAUCCAGGAUUCUUCAAAACAGAUCUUCUUAUGAAGUGCUAUAUGGUAAGACUCCCAAUUACUCACAUUUGAGGGCAUUUGGUUGUCUUGCCUAUGCUACUGUCCCCAUUCCACAAAGAGAUAAACUAAAAUCUAGGGCAGUUUCAUGCGUUUUUCUAGGAUAUCCUUUUGCCAAAAAGGGUUACAAGUUGUAUGAUCUAGUUUCCAAAAAAUAUUUUGUGUCCAGGGAUGUUGUGUUUCAUGAGACAUGUUUUCCUUUUGCAACUAAUUCUGAUAUUACCUCUGGUUCAUCUAUAUUUUCUUUUCCACCUCCUAUUGUACCUUUUUCUGAUUACCAAGAUUCUGGGACACAACUUUCUGUCCCACCUUGCUCACAUGUUCCCUCUCAUUCUGAAUCUUUUUCUUCUAGUUCCAGCUAUGGUCCUUCUUUUCCUUUUGACUCCACACCCUCUGAACCUCUUCCUUCUCCAUCCUUCAAUCCUGAUAUUCCACCUCAUACUGUUUCUUCCUCUCCACAACCUCAUAUCAACAAAAGAUCUAGCAGACAACACACCACUCCUUCUUAUCUCAAAGACUAUGUGUGUCACCUACCUUCCUUUUCUGGAUCUUAUUCCUCUACUUCCAGUCUGGAAUCUGAACCUCUUUAUUAUUCUCAAGCUGCCACAGUUCUAGCUUGGCAGGAUGCCAUGAGAAAGGAGUUUGAUGCAUUGGAUGCUGACCACACUUGGGAUGUUGUUCCCCUUCCUCCUGGUAAGAAACCCAUAGGUUGCAAGUGGGUCUAUAAGAUAAAAUAUAGAGCUGAAGGCAGUGUUGAAAGGUAUAAAGCUAGGCUUGUUAUUGGAGGAGACAAGCAGGUUGAGGGGGUUGAUUUCACUGAAAUUUUUUUCCCUAUGAUUAAGAUGACUACUGUCAACAUUGCUGUAGCUGUUAAGAAACAUUGGGAUCUUUUUCAACUUGAUGUAAACAAUGCCUUCUUGCAUGGUGACCUAGAUGAGGAAGUGUAUAUGAAGCUACCUCCAGGUUUAAACAUUUCUACUCCUACUGUUUCUUCUGUUUCCACUCCCUUUAUGUGCAAAUUGAAGAAGUCACUCUAUGGGUUAAGACAGGCUUCAAGACAAUGGUAUGCCAAAUUGUCUCAAUCUCUGUAUUCCAUAGGUUAUAUCCACUCUUUGAAUGAUUACUCUUUGUUUAUAAAGGUCAGCCUGGCUGUCUUGUGCUGCUGGUAGUGUAUGUGGAUGAUAUCAUUAUCACUGGAGAUGAUACCACUGAAAUUACUGGCCUAAAACAUUUCUUGGAUGAUCAGUUUAGAAUCAAAGACCUGGGGUCUUUGCAUUAUUUUCUGGGAAUCGAGGUGUCUACCGUUCCUAGUGGUGUACUUCUUAAUCAAAAGAAAUUUGUCUCUGACUUGUUGCAGCAAUUUGACUGCCCUGCAGUUUCUCCUGUCACUUGUCUUCUAGACCUUAAUACCAAACUGCAUGCUAAUUCUGGUGAUCUCUUCCCUUCUCCUGACAAGUAUAGAAGCCUCAUUGUGAAGCUUCUAUUUUUGACACAUACCAGACCUGAUAUUUGCUUUGCCGUACAAUAUUUAAUCCAGUUCUUGAAGUCCCCUAGAUUACCUCACAUGUCUGUUGCCCUGCAUGUUCUUAUGUAUCUUAAGGGAACUAUGGAUUUGGGGCUUUUCUAUUCUAACUCUCCUGAUUUUUCUGUACAUGCCUUUUCAGACAGUGACUGGGCAGCUUGCCCUGAUACUCGCAGAUAUGUCACUGGUUUCUGUGUGAUAUUAGGGGGCAGCUUGAUAAGUUGGAAGUCCAAAAAACAACCAGUGGUGUCAUUAUCUUCUGCUGAGGCAUAGUACAGGGCACUUAGCAAGGUGGUUGCUGAAUUGUCUUGGUUUUCCAGAUUACUCACUAACCUUGGUGUUUCAGUAUCUCUUCCUUUUUCUAUAUUCUGUGAUUACCAGGCUGCUUUACUUAUAGCCAGGAAUCCAGUUUUCAUGAGCGGACCAAGCACAUUGAGGUUGAUUGUCACUUUGUCCGGACUAAACUUUCUGAUGGGCUGAUUUCUCUAUCUCAUGUUUUCACUUCUCAACAGUUAGCUGAUGUUCUGACCAAACCUUUGCCUGGCACUGUUCAUCAUGACCUUUUGCGCAAGUUGAAGGUGGUUUCCCCCUCCAACUUGAGGGGGAGGGGGGGGGGGUGUUGGGCUAAUGGACUAUUUAGCCUCCAAACCCAAGCAUAAACACUGAUUUCUUU